This 491-nucleotide long non-coding RNA is filed under the name Cercocebus atys (sooty mangabey). RNAcentral's name for it is "lncRNA (ENSCATG00000045467.1)". The record is from RNAcentral. Lineage: Eukaryota; Metazoa; Chordata; Mammalia; Primates; Cercopithecidae.
AGUUUGCCUCUGGCUUAUUUUAUGUUGCUGCCAUUAACCUUUGGCCUGUUUAUGUCUGCUUCUUCACCUGCUUGAUUGAUUGGGUUUUUUCCUUCCCUGCAUCUUUUAUCAUCUUGGAAAUGAGCCGGUACCAAGAACUAGCAGUAGCUCUGGAGUCAAGCUCCACAACAAUCAAUCACCUCAAUGAAAACAUAGAAUCAUUGAAACAACAGAAGAAACAAGUGGAACAUCAGUUGGAAGAAGAAAAGAAAGCAAACAAUGAAAUACACAAAGCACAAACGGAGCAGUUAGAGGUGAGUGGAGGGUGGGGAGUUUUCUCCUGUCUUUUGGAGAAUGUUUCUUUCCUUCUCUUUCAGCACUUGCUUGGUUUUUCUCCCAAACGUUCAAUUCCAGACAAUCAACAUCCUCACAUUGGAAAAGACAGACUUGAAGACCACCCUUUACCAUACUAAAGGUGCUGCCAGACACUUUGAAGGUGGGAAUCUGGGCAC